ACGGCUCAGUAACACGUGGAUAACCUGCCCUAAGGAAGGGGAUAACCUCGGGAAACUGAGGAUAAUACCUUAUAGGUUACAGACGCUGGAAUGCCCUGUAACCGAAAGUUCCGGCGCCUUAGGAUGGAUCUGCGGCCGAUUAGGUUGUUGUUGGGGUAACGGCCCAACAAGCCGAUAAUCGGUACGGGUUGUGGGAGCAAGAGCCCGGAGUUGGAUUCUGAGACAUGAAUCCAGGCCCUACGGGGCGCAGCAGGCGCGAAAACUUUACAAUGCGGGAAACCGUGAUAAGGGAACCCCGAGUGCCUGUAUAUGCAGGCUGUCCAGGUGUCUAAAAAACACCUGAAGAAAGGGCCGGGCAAGACCGGUGCCAGCCGCCGCGGUAAUACCGGCGGCUCGAGUGGUGGCCACUUUUAUUGGGCUUAAAGCGUUCGUAGCUGGGUUGUUAAGUCUCUUGGGAAAUCUGACGGCUCAACCGUCAGGCGUCCAAGGGAUACUGGCAAUCUUGGAACCGGGAGAGGUGAGGGGUACUUCGGGGGUAGGAGUGAAAUCCUGUAAUCCUCGAGGGACCACCUGUGGCGAAGGCGCCUCACCAGAACGGCUUCGACAGUGAGGGACGAAAGCUGGGGGAGCAAACCGGAUUAGAUACCCGGGUAGUCCCAGCCGUAAACGAUGCGCGUUAGGUGUAUCGGUGACCACGAGUCACCGAGGUGCCGAAGGGAAACCGUGAAACGUGCCGCCUGGGAAGUACGGUCGCAAGGCUGAAACUUAAAGGAAUUGGCGGGGGAGCAC
This 789-nucleotide ribosomal RNA is filed under the name Methanoculleus sp. enrichment culture clone LA_2. RNAcentral's name for it is "bacterial SSU rRNA". It matches the Rfam family "Archaeal small subunit ribosomal RNA", at positions 85 to 879 of the family's 1478-position model. The record is from RNAcentral. Lineage: Archaea; Methanobacteriati; Methanobacteriota; Methanomicrobia; Methanomicrobiales; Methanomicrobiaceae.